RNAcentral lists this ribosomal RNA (1529 nucleotides) under Acanthamoeba sp. RNAcentral's name for it is "bacterial SSU rRNA". It matches the Rfam family "Bacterial small subunit ribosomal RNA". The record is from RNAcentral. Lineage: Eukaryota; Discosea; Longamoebia; Acanthamoebidae.
UUGUAUAAACAAUCGUUGGGUUUUAUUCUGGCUCCGAGUGAACGCUGGUAACAUAUUUUAACACAUGCAAAUCGAACGAAAGUCUUUAAGGGCUUUAGUGGUGACCUGGUGAGUAGCAUAAGAGGAUCGAAAUGUGGGUCAGGUUAAAUACCUUCCUUCUCUGCUUAGAGAAAGAUUUAUAUCGCUCGCAAUAGAACUUUUACAGGAUUAGGUAGUUGUUGUAGUAAUUAAUCAACAAGCCGACGAUGCUUAGCUGGUUUGAGAGAAUGAUCAGCCACAUUGGGACUGGAAACGGCCCAAGUCUUUGAAAAGGGCAGCAGUGGAGAAUAUUUGACAAUGGGCGAAAGCUUGAUCGAGUAAUGUUACGUGGGUGAUAAGAAGGCUUAAUUGCCGUAAAACUCGUUUCGUCAAGGAUUAUAAUGCAAUCGUACUUGAAGGAGAAGCCCUGACUAACUUCGUGCCAGCAGUCGCGGUAAUACGGAGAGGGCUAGUGUUAUUCGCAUUGACUGGGUGUAAAGGGUGCGUAGGUGGUUUAUUAAGUUUCAAGAUAAAACUUAAAUAUAGAAUUUAAAUAUCUUUUAAUACUAAUAGACUAGAGUUCAUUAGAAGAUAGCUGAACAUUAAGUGUAAAGGUGAAAUUUUCCGAUAUUUAAAGGACAUGCAAUAGGCGAAGGCUGCUAUCUAUUUUAAACUGACACUGAGGCACAAAAGCAUAGGGAUCAAACAGGAUUAGAGACCCUGGUAGUCUAUGCCCUGACCGAUGAAUAUUGAUUAUGUUGUAACAAAUGUAAUUAAGCUAACGCGUAAAUAUUCCACCUGAGUACUACGACCGCAAGGUUAAAACUCAAAGAAACUGACUGAAGAUUGUAUUAGCGGUGGAGUAUGUGGUUUAAUUUGAUAUAACGCAAAGAAUCUUACCAACCCUUGAAUACAAGUUCCUUUUUUCGAUCACGGGCUAUUUUUAGCUUGUGAUCGAGAAGGCAGACUUCUCGAUAAGGGUUUAUAUAACUCUAUCAGUCUGGACUUGUACAGGUGCUGCAUGGUUGUCGGCAGUUCGUGUUGUGAAAUGUUUUGUUAANUCAUUUAACGGACNUAACCUUCAGCUUUAUUUGUUUUAAAUAGAGCAAUUAUUAAUUUUAAAAUUGAUUGAGAGAAGAGGAAGUCAAAUCAUUAUGGCCUAUAUAGGUUGGGCUACACACGUACUACAAUGGUAAUUACAAUGUGAAGCAAAAACGUGAGUUAUAGCUAAUCAUUAAAAAUUAACCUUANUUUUAAUUACUCUCUGUAAGUCGAGAGUAUGAAGUCGGAAUCGCUAGUAAUCGCAGAAUAGAACGCUGCGGUGAAUACAUUCUCAAUCUUUGUACACACCGCCCGUCACGCCAUGGGAAUUGGUUUGGUUAGAAGUAAUACCGGUUUUAUUGUUGCUAUUUCUACAAUAUUUAUUUUUAGUCUGGUGCAGUUUAAUACGGAUCGCGACAACUAGAUCAAGGACUGGGGUGAAGUCGUAACAAGGUAGCGGUAGGGGAACC